UGCGGGAUGCCGAAGUCGGGUUCCGCGCUAUGACACUUGCUGACUUAUCAGGAGAAUACUCAUGAGC
RNAcentral lists this small RNA (67 nucleotides) under Pseudomonas sp. 8Z. RNAcentral describes it as "ROSE_3". It matches the Rfam family "Repression of heat shock gene expression (ROSE) element". Lineage: Bacteria; Pseudomonadati; Pseudomonadota; Gammaproteobacteria; Pseudomonadales; Pseudomonadaceae. The record is from RNAcentral.